Molecule: ribosomal RNA, 264 nt
Filed under: uncultured bacterium
Lineage: Bacteria
Description: partial 16S ribosomal RNA
Rfam family: Bacterial small subunit ribosomal RNA
Source: RNAcentral
GUCCACGACGUAAACGAUGUCUACUAGCCGUUGGGUUCCUUGAGGACUUAGUGGCGCAGCUAACGCAAUAAGUAGACCGCCUGGGGAGUACGGUCGCAAGAUUAAAACUCAAAUGAAUUGACGGGGGCCCCGCACAAGCGGUGGAGCAUGUGGUUUAAUUCGACGCAACGCGAAGAACCUUACCAGGUAUUGACAUCCAGAGAACUUUCCAGAGAUGGAUUGGUGCCUUCGGGAACUCUGAGACAGGUGCUGCAUGGCUGUCGU